This 407-nucleotide ribosomal RNA is filed under the name Magnusiomyces spicifer. RNAcentral's name for it is "eukaryotic LSU rRNA". It matches the Rfam family "Eukaryotic large subunit ribosomal RNA", at positions 62 to 504 of the family's 3401-position model. The record is from RNAcentral. Lineage: Eukaryota; Fungi; Ascomycota; Dipodascomycetes; Dipodascales; Dipodascaceae.
AAACCAACAGGGAUUGCCUUAGUAACGGCGAGUGAAGCGGCAAAAGCUCAAUUUGAAAUCGCUUUGGCGAGUUGUAAGUAAAGUGGUUAGACGCUUUUUAAUAAGUCCCUUGGAACAGGGCGCCAUAGAGGGUGAUAGCCCCGUAUUAAAUUGUCUAGUGUGCUACUUUAGAGCGAGUCGAGUUGUUUGGGAAUGCAGCUCAAAUAGGUGGUAAACUCCAUCUAAAGCUAAAUAUUGCUGGGAGACCGAUAGCGAACAAGUACAGUGAUGGAAAGAUGAAAAGCACUUUGAAAAGAGAGUGAAAUAGCGUGUGAAAUUGUUGGAGGGGAAGGCGAUGGUAGGAAUAAGAGGCUGCGGUUUGAAAUAAAUGUUUUUCGGGCCACGGUCUCCUGAGCCUGCUUUCGCAC